This 948-nucleotide long non-coding RNA is filed under the name Homo sapiens (human). RNAcentral describes it as "non-protein coding lnc-KCNN2-4:1". Lineage: Eukaryota; Metazoa; Chordata; Mammalia; Primates; Hominidae. The record is from RNAcentral.
ACUUAUCUUUUUACCAUCUCUGUAGUACUGCUGUUUUUGAAUGUUGGAAUCGUAGUAUGUGGCCUUUUCAGUCUGGGUUCUUUCACUUAGCAAUAUGCAUUUAAAAUUCCUCCAUGUCUUUUCAUGGCUCCAUAGCUCACUUAUUUUUAUUGUUGUGUGAAAUUCAUUGUAUGGAUGUACCACAGUCUGCUUCUCUAGUCACUUUUUGAAGGAUAUCUUAGUUGCUUCGUCUUUUUGGCAAAUAUGAAUAAAGCUGCUAUUAACAUUCAUGUGAAGAUUUUUGUUCAGACAUAUGCUUUCAAGUCAUUUGGGUAGACAUGUAGAAGCAUGAUUACUGUAUGGUAUAGCAUGACUAUGUUUAGCUUUGGAAAAAAACUGCCAAACUGUCUUCCAAGGUGGCUGUAACAUCUUGUAUUUACACCAACAAUGAAGUUCUCAUUGCUACACAGUCCCGCCAAAGUUUGAUAUUGUCCAUUUUCAAUUUUAGUGAUUUUGAUACAUACGUUAUGGUAUUUCACUGUUGCUUCUUCCAUUGAGAUAUAUAUAUAUAUUUUCUGUUCCAUUGAUUAUAUAUAGAGACAUAUAUAUAUAUAUAUGUAAAACCUCAUCCUUUUGGUUACCUCUUGGCUGUCACUUUGUGAUCUGUAAAAGCUGCUUCGGGUUCAAGCCAUCUCCUGCCUCAGCCUCCCAAGUAGCUGGGAUUACAGGUGCGUGCCACUACACCCAGCUAAUUUUUGUAUUUUUUCUAAAAUUUAGACAUAAUUUAAAUAAUGAUUUUACAGCCCUUCUGCAUUUGAAAAGAGGAUCAAUUAAGUCCCAGAGAGUCUUUGUUGAGGUCAACACUGUUAUUUGGAACAUGAGGCUUUGCAUUGUGUUGUAAUACAGUGAUGUUCUCUGGUAAUUGAGGUGUGCAAGAAUGUUUGAUUUUUCAUUAGAUGAGUUAAGACU